Molecule: long non-coding RNA, 2133 nt
Filed under: Phocoena sinus (vaquita)
Lineage: Eukaryota; Metazoa; Chordata; Mammalia; Artiodactyla; Phocoenidae
Description: lncRNA (ENSPSNG00000020066.1)
Source: RNAcentral
UAUGCACACAAAAACUUGUCCACAAAUGUUUAUAGCAGUAUAAUUCAUAAUAGCCAAAAAUGGAAAUAACCCAAAUACCUACCAGCCGAUGAAUGGAUAAAUAGACGUAGUAUAUCUAUGCAAUGGCACAUUAUUGAACUAUGGAAAGAAAGGAAGUACUGACACAGGCUCCAACAUGGAUGAACCUUGAAAACAUCAUGCUAAGUGAAAGAAGCCUUGCGAAAAGCCACACACUCCAUGAUGCUGUUUAUAUGAAAUGCCCGGAAUAGGCAAAAUUACCAAGACAAAUUAUACAACCGUGGUUGCCAGGGGCUGGAGGCUGGGGUGGGUGGGGCGUGACUGCGGAGCGCCAUAUGGGCUUUCUUUGUGGUGAUGAAAAUUUUCUUUGGUUAGUGAUGUGCACGAUUUUGAGAAUAUGCUAAAAGCCCCUGAAUUAAAUACUUCAAACAAUGUUGACGAGCUGAAUUCAGAGGCAACCAGCUUGAAGGAUGCAUUUCUUGGAAUCUCUUACCUCCCAGAACUUUUGUUUCUCACUGACUCACCGUUUCAGAAGAAUCCAUGGUUUUCUUACUCAGUUUUCCUGCGAGACAUGGUGUUUCUGGUUUCAGCAAAAGUACCAGCAGUGAUAAUACCCGGUAAACGUGUCGUCAGAUGUCCUCUCAGCCUUGAGGUAACAACACGACCGUGUCCAAGAAACACCUUUAGUCGUUAAAUACAGGCCGUUAUAGAUCAGAGGUUUUCCGACUGGGACUGGCCAGCUCAGUGGCACUCUGGGGCACUUUUUUUAUUUGCACAUAUAUAUUUUUGGACUCACUGUGACACAGCAAGAGCACUUCCCAAAGCCCCAGAUCUCCACACACACUUUCCUCUUCUCCCUACACACUGCAUUGUAUACACAUGUGCACAUACGCGCACAGUAGAACGAGCUAGCAGGGUCUGGAUGUUCAGGGAGAAGAGAGGCGUGCCCUGAAAUGCCAGUGUUCGAAACCCCAGCAUUUAGGACAAGAUCUUCAGUAUAACUGGAGACUGAGGACGAUGUCAUCUUUGAACCCGGAGGCAGUGCAGUGUUGCUGUGACGGGCGCUUAGUGUCAACACCAGCCAGUCCUGGCUCUUUGGGAAGCUAACAGGGUGCUGGUUUGGGGUUCCGUGCCCACCUCCAGGACACUGGGCACCCUGGGUGCAAGUGCAGCAGUGGUGGGGUCUGUUGGCAUUUGAGCCUCUCUACUCACCAGCCAGAGACGCCCCAUUCUCUGCUGUUCCCAGGGAAGUUGCCAUCCUAGCAGCCGCCAGAGGCCACUGGGGAUCAAGGAGACAGCCACUCAAUAGAUUUUUCUGACCACGGGCACGACCUUGCUGAGAACCCAGGAGUUGCAAGGUUCUUGGGCACCAGAACCAACUGGGACACCUUCCUCAUUCUUCUCCCGUGAAAGCUCUGGUUGGGACCUUGGCUCUCAUUAUGGCAAAGGAGUCUUUUGUAGCCAGUCAGUGACAUUUGAUUCUAGCAGUGCCGCUGGCUACACGCCCAUCCACUCCCUGUCUCGUGCUGGAGAGUAUUUUCACAAUCGCUUGCUCCUUCCCCAACCGAAGUCUGGAAGAAGGAGAGUAGGGGUCCAGGACGCUGCUUGGGGCUUGGUCGUUUCUGUCCUCCUCUGGACCCCACUCCUAAGGUCCUCCAGCCACCUUUGCCCACCGUUUCAGGCCUGUUUACAAACCUAACACAUGCCUGGAGGUGCCAAUAAAUUGGAGCGUGCAGAUUUUCUUCCGGAAUGUUUCAUUGUUCUGAUGUUGAAAAGUGAAAUGCGAACAGUUGAGGACUCAUAGCCUUAUUUCUUUAGGCCCUGAAAAAAAGUCUGUCACACCAUUUGGUCUCCCUUGGGGGAUGGGUCUAUGGGUUAUGACUGCAGGAAGCUGCCUUUUAAGAAGAUCCUGGUUUCAAAGUGCUCGACCUUUUGUGUUUAAUUGCGACGAAAUGCCCCUAAAUGCAAAAUGUGAAUUCCUCGAUUUUGUUCUAGUUGGUGACUUUCUGUGGCACCUGCUGUCUGUGCUCAUUGGUGAUUGAUGUGCCCGAUUAUGAGAUGCCUGCUUCAUUAGCUCCUUUAUAGAAGGUGCACUUAAUAAACAUAUUUUUUUCC